CAACAGGUGUCUGAAAGUAAGUUUAGGUCUUUUAAACCUAAUAUAGGGGUAACGCCCUCUUCUGUUGA
Molecule: transfer RNA, 68 nt
Filed under: Belzebub intermedius
Lineage: Eukaryota; Metazoa; Arthropoda; Malacostraca; Decapoda; Luciferidae
Description: tRNA-Lys
Source: RNAcentral